UGCAAGUCGAGCGGACCGACGGGAGCUUGCUCCCUUAGGUCAGCGGCGGACGGGUGAGUAACACGUGGGUAACCUGCCUGUAAGACUGGGAUAACUCCGGGAAACCGGGGCUAAUACCGGAUGCUUGAUUGAACCGCAUGGUUCAAUCAUGAAAGGCGGCUUCGGCUGCCGUUUACAGAUGGACCCGCGGCGCAUUAGCUAGUUGGUGAGGUAACGGCUCACCAAGGCGACGAUGCGUAGCCGACCUGAGAGGGUGAUCGGCCACACUGGGACUGAGACACGGCCCAGACUCCUACGGGAGGCAGCAGUAGGGAAUCUUCCGCAAUGGACGAAAGUCUGACGGAGCAACGCCGCGUGAGUGAUGAAGGUUUUCGGAUCGUAAAGCUCUGUUGUUAGGGAAGAACAAGUACCGUUCGAAUAGGGCGGUACCUUGACGGUACCUAACCAGAAAGCCACGGCUAACUACGUGCCAGCAGCCGCGGUAAUACGUAGGUGGCAAGCGUUGUCCGGAAUUAUUGGGCGUAAAGCGCGCGCAGGCGGUUUCUUAAGUCUGAUGUGAAAGCCCCCGGCUCAACCGGGGAGGGUCAUUGGAAACUGGGGAACUUGAGUGCAGAAGAGGAGAGU
This 624-nucleotide ribosomal RNA is filed under the name Bacillus sp. (in: firmicutes). Its description in RNAcentral is "bacterial SSU rRNA". It matches the Rfam family "Bacterial small subunit ribosomal RNA", at positions 56 to 662 of the family's 1533-position model. Lineage: Bacteria; Bacillati; Bacillota; Bacilli; Caryophanales; Bacillaceae. The record is from RNAcentral.